RNAcentral lists this ribosomal RNA (1442 nucleotides) under Escherichia coli. Its description in RNAcentral is "partial 23S ribosomal RNA". It matches the Rfam family "Bacterial large subunit ribosomal RNA", at positions 296 to 1746 of the family's 2925-position model. The record is from RNAcentral. Lineage: Bacteria; Pseudomonadati; Pseudomonadota; Gammaproteobacteria; Enterobacterales; Enterobacteriaceae.
AGCAGCCCAGAGCCUGAAUCAGUGUGUGUGUUAGUGGAAGCGUCUGGAAAGGCGCGCGAUACAGGGUGACAGCCCCGUACACAAAAAUGCACAUGCUGUGAGCUCGAUGAGUAGGGCGGGACACGUGGUAUCCUGUCUGAAUAUGGGGGGACCAUCCUCCAAGGCUAAAUACUCCUGACUGACCGAUAGUGAACCAGUACCGUGAGGGAAAGGCGAAAAGAACCCCGGCGAGGGGAGUGAAAAAGAACCUGAAACCGUGUACGUACAAGCAGUGGGAGCACGCUUAGGCGUGUGACUGCGUACCUUUUGUAUAAUGGGUCAGCGACUUAUAUUCUGUAGCAAGGUUAACCGAAUAGGGGAGCCGAAGGGAAACCGAGUCUUAACUGGGCGUUAAGUUGCAGGGUAUAGACCCGAAACCCGGUGAUCUAGCCAUGGGCAGGUUGAAGGUUGGGUAACACUAACUGGAGGACCGAACCGACUAAUGUUGAAAAAUUAGCGGAUGACUUGUGGCUGGGGGUGAAAGGCCAAUCAAACCGGGAGAUAGCUGGUUCUCCCCGAAAGCUAUUUAGGUAGCGCCUCGUGAAUUCAUCUCCGGGGGUAGAGCACUGUUUCGGCAAGGGGGUCAUCCCGACUUACCAACCCGAUGCAAACUGCGAAUACCGGAGAAUGUUAUCACGGGAGACACACGGCGGGUGCUAACGUCCGUCGUGAAGAGGGAAACAACCCAGACCGCCAGCUAAGGUCCCAAAGUCAUGGUUAAGUGGGAAACGAUGUGGGAAGGCCCAGACAGCCAGGAUGUUGGCUUAGAAGCAGCCAUCAUUUAAAGAAAGCGUAAUAGCUCACUGGUCGAGUCGGCCUGCGCGGAAGAUGUAACGGGGCUAAACCAUGCACCGAAGCUGCGGCAGCGACGCUGAUGCGUUGUUGGGUAGGGGAGCGUUCUGUAAGCCUGUGAAGGUGUGCUGUGAGGCAUGCUGGAGGUAUCAGAAGUGCGAAUGCUGACAUAAGUAACGAUAAAGCGGGUGAAAAGCCCGCUCGCCGGAAGACCAAGGGUUCCUGUCCAACGUUAAUCGGGGCAGGGUGAGUCGACCCCUAAGGCGAGGCCGAAAGGCGUAGUCGAUGGGAAACAGGUUAAUAUUCCUGUACUUGGUGUUACUGCGAAGGGGGGACGGAGAAGGCUAUGUUGGCCGGGCGACGGUUGUCCCGGUUUAAGCGUGUAGGCUGGUUUUCCAGGCAAAUCCGGAAAAUCAAGGCUGAGGCGUGAUGACGAGGCACUACGGUGCUGAAGCAACAAAUGCCCUGCUUCCAGGAAAAGCCUCUAAGCAUCAGGUAACAUCAAAUCGUACCCCAAACCGACACAGGUGGUCAGGUAGAGAAUACCAAGGCGCUUGAGAGAACUCGGGUGAAGGAACUAGGCAAAAUGGUGCCGUAACUUCGGGAGAAGG